GUGACCUUGAUCCUGUUCUUGUUGAUCUUGCCAAUUCCCUUUCGUAUACAUCAAAUCUCGAACGAAUUGAUAUCUCUAAUCAAAAGAAAUUACCGUUUAUGGGUUUGAAGGAGUUAGGGAGGAAAUUAAAGGGUUUGAGGGUUUUGACAUGUAGCAAUCUAACUCUUUUGCGUGAUUCUGAUUUGUAUGUUAUUGCUGAGUUGUUUCCGUUUUUGGAAGAGUUGGACAUUAGCUAUCCGAGUACGGAUUAUGUUUUGGAUUCUGUGUAUAUUGCUUCAGAGGCUAGUAAUUUGGCUGUGACUGAUUCUGGGGUUGAGGUUUUG
This 323-nucleotide unclassified non-coding RNA is filed under the name Hevea brasiliensis (rubber tree). Lineage: Eukaryota; Viridiplantae; Streptophyta; Magnoliopsida; Malpighiales; Euphorbiaceae. The record is from RNAcentral.